Molecule: ribosomal RNA, 537 nt
Filed under: Triticum aestivum (bread wheat)
Lineage: Eukaryota; Viridiplantae; Streptophyta; Magnoliopsida; Poales; Poaceae
Description: partial small subunit ribosomal RNA
Source: RNAcentral
AUGACAACUGGUGAAGCAGUUUCAAGAAUGUCUAGCGAUACGGUCAUAAUUCAAGAUGCUCUUGGUGAGAAGGCAGCGAAGCUUAUACAAACCGUAUCUGCCUUCUUUGGGGGUUUUAUCGUAGCAUUCACAAAAGGCUGGCUCCUCACUCUUGUCAUGCUAACAUCACUACCAUUAGUUGCUAUCGCUGGUGCAGUGUCUGCACAACUGCUAACUGGGGUUUCUAGCAAGCGACUAACAUCGUAUAGUGAUGCUGCAGACACAGUUGAACAGACAAUUGGAUCUAUACGAACAGUUGUGUCCUUCAAUGGCGAGAAGAAAGCUAUAGAAAUGUAUAACAAAUUCAAUAAAAAUGCAUACAAGACUGCUGUUGAGGAAGGCCUCGUCAAUGGUUUUGGCAUGGGCUCUGUCUUCUGCAUCAUAUUGAGCAGCUAUGGUCUAGGCUUCUGGUAUGGUGGAAAGCUAAUCCUUGACAAAGGAUACACUGGAGGGAAGAUCAUCACUGUUUUGUUUGCCGUAUUAACUGGCGCAAAGUGA